GGGUAUCAGGAGNUCUCGUGACUCGGCUCUCUCUCCUGCCUUUGUGACCUACGUCUGUUGCUUUGGGGGCGCCGGCCGCCAAUAGACCUCCUAACUCCUUUCGGUAUACGCAUACGUCUGAUAAACCUGUUUAUAAACUAAAACUUUCCACCACGGAUCUUUUGGUUCUGGCGUCCAUGAAGAACGCACCAAA
RNAcentral lists this ribosomal RNA (193 nucleotides) under uncultured Ascomycota. RNAcentral's name for it is "partial 18S ribosomal RNA". The record is from RNAcentral. Lineage: Eukaryota; Fungi; Ascomycota.